GGGUCAUUAGGUUGGUCGUGCCACCGGUACGUACUGGUCUCACUGAUUCCUCCUUCCUGAAGAACCGUAAUGCCAUUAAUUUGGUGUUGCGGGGAAACAGGACUGUUACUUUGAAAAAAUUAGAGUGUUUAAAGCAAGCUAACGCUUGAAUACAUUAGCAUGGAAUAAUGAAAUAGGACGACCGAUCCUAUUUUGUUGGUUUCUAGGAUUGACGUA
RNAcentral lists this ribosomal RNA (216 nucleotides) under Glomeromycotina sp. Its description in RNAcentral is "partial small subunit ribosomal RNA". The stretch from base 40 to 216 matches the Rfam family "Eukaryotic small subunit ribosomal RNA", at positions 686 to 864 of the family's 1831-position model. Lineage: Eukaryota; Fungi; Glomeromycota. The record is from RNAcentral.